Pimephales promelas (fathead minnow) is the source of this 5687-nucleotide RNA transcript. It is a transcript of the gene named FYVE and coiled-coil domain autophagy adaptor 1b, with no coding region annotated. The record is from RefSeq and is a predicted model, not a curated record. Lineage: Eukaryota; Metazoa; Chordata; Actinopteri; Cypriniformes; Leuciscidae.
CUAAGGAACCGUCUCCUAAAAUGGCAGCAGGGUUGUAUCUAUUGUAAACACUCGAUGAGGAAAGAUCAUCUUUCUGUAAAGCAUAAUGUUGACUUUAUGAACCAUCCACACUAACAUAUUCAGCCCAUCAUGAGCACAGUGGGAGAAAACCAGCUGCAGAGAAUAAUCCGAGAUCUGCAUGAUGCAGUUUCUGAGUUGAGCAAAGAACAUUGUGAAACUGGAGAGCCCGUCACCGAUGACAGUUCCAGUCUUCACAAGUUCUGCUAUAAACUGGAGUACCUACUGCAAUUUGACCAGAAAGAGAGAACCACAUUUCUGGGCAGCAGGAAAGACUACUGGGACUAUUUCUGUGACUGCUUGUCCAAGAUUAAAGGAGCUAAUGACGGCAUUCGCUUUGUCAAAUCAAUCCCCGAGCUGAAGACGUCAUUGGGGAAAGGACGGGCUUUCAUCCGCUACGGUCUGGUGCACCAAAGGCUGGCAGACACUCUUCAGCAAUGUCUUAUGAACUACAAAAUCACCUGUGAGUGGUAUUAUGAACGCAGUCCCUUCUUGAAGUCCCAUCUGAACAUCGAUAUCAUCAACCACCUGUAUGAACUCAAUGAGGUCCAGUUUGAUGUAGCAUCCCGAGGUCAUGACCUUGACUCUGACUGGCCUACCUUUGCUAGAAGGACUUUGGGUUCAGCUGUCUCAUCUGCCCAUGUGUGGAAACCACCCAGUCGCUGCUCAAGUGUCAACAGUCUGGUCAGCAGUUACUCACAGCAAGCUCAGGAGUUUCUUCCAGGCCAAGAAUUUGGGUCCAGUCUGCUAGGUGAUCUGGGUGAGUUGGGCGAGCUGUCUUGUAGCCCUUCUGAGGACCUACGCAUUGAGCUUGACCAAUCUGAGUUGAGACAACAAGAGCUCCAAGAGAAGGUUCAUCAGCUCACCAGUGAGGCAGCUGAUCUUAGAGCCGUGCUCAGUGACCUACAGGAACAACUCCUGGCUAAAAGACCUAAUCAAGAGAAAGAAGGAGAACAGUCCUCAGGGGAGGCUCUCCAUACCACCCAACAGGAGCUGGAGUCUCUGCAGACAUCAGAACGCAAGCUAGAAGCCAAGCUGAGCAUUGCGGAGAACAGGAACAUGGAGUUGCUGUCAAAGCUUGAUGGAGCUCUGAGCGAAAAGGGACAGCAGGCCGCCAACUACUGCGACUCAGCCUGGACGAUCCAAGAGCUCCUGACCAAGCUAAAGGAGGCUGAAGAAGAGAGGAUUGAGUCUAAACGAGAGAGCGAAGACCGAGCUAGACUAGCUGAGCGACUUGCCCAGGAUCUGACGCUUCAGGAGGAGAAAGUAAAGGAGAUGAAAGGAAAACUGGACACAUGUAGAGUUUCCGCCGACAAAGAACGAACAACUGCAAAGCAACAGGCUGAUGAGCUGCAGGUGACCAUUAACCGCCUUCAGGGAGAUCUAUCUCUGAAGGAGCGGGAAACUGGGAAUCUCCAGACACAGCUUCAGGACUUGCAAAAGGCAUUGGAGGCCCAGGAGAGUCAACUGGAGGAGCACAAGAAAAGGAUGCAAGAUGAGUUGCAACAUAAAAGUGUGCUUGAAGAGAAACUAAAUGCAAAGCUGAAUGAGUUAUCCAUCAGUACCCAGAAGAUUCGGCAACUGGAGAAUCACAACCAGCGGUUGACUGCAGAGAGUCAGAGCUUUCAAGGGCAAGCCAAGAAACUGGAAGAGUACAAGACCCAGUGCACAAGUUUAAUGGAGAUCAAUGCCAAGCUCAUCCAGACUGUGAAAAGACACGAGGACAGCAGCAAAGAGCUGGCACAAACCAAGACCGCUCUAGAGAGAGAACUGAUCACUGCACAGGCCUACGAGAGGCAACUGAUGAGCAGACUGGAGUCAACUGGACUGACUGUAGAGAACCGAAAUCUGGACAAGUGCAUACAGAACGGCCAAACUGAAUUUGAACAAAUUGCGGAGAAGAGUAUAUCGAGCGUGGAAGAAUUAGAUGACAGUGCCACAGUCCCACAGCAGAGAACAUCUAGACAACUACUUGAAGCCGUUGAAUCCUCAAGAAGUGAAAAUGGAGAAUCCACUUCCAGGUUGGCUCUGGCUGAGGCCCAACUUGAACUCAACAUGAAGGAGGUUUCCAGACUUCAGGAGGAGGUCAUGGAGCUCCGGGCACAGCUAUUGGUGAGCUCAGAGGAGAGGAUGAAGAUCCAGGCUCUACAGGAAGUGACAGAAGCCUCCAGAGAAGACCUCCGUGCCCAGACGGAGCAACUUAAGUCCCAGGUGGAAGAGCUAAACCGUAGGCAUGUGGAUCAACUGCUACGCUGCCAUGAAAGAGAGGACGCUCUGGUAAAAGAGAGGGAUAUGGAGGCCAAGGCACGGUCAGAAAUCCAAACGAACAUUACUGCCAUGAGGGAAGAGCUUAAUUUGUUGAAAAAGCAGAACAGCACGCUUGUGUUUGAGAAUGGAGAGGCUUGUGAGGCCUUACAUAGGGCCAACACCGAGACAGCAGAGCUCGGGGUUCACGUUUGCAUGCUGACGGGCCAGAAUGAGGAGGCUCAGUUGCGAUGGGAGGAGCUUUCUACCAAACUGCAGGAGCUACAGAUGGAGGCACAAGAGGAGGUGGAAACUCUAAGUGAAUCGAUGAAGGCCAUGAGUGAGGAGAAUGCAAGACUCCAAGAGCAGCUAAAGCAGACAGAGGGACUCCCAGAAGCCAUGCAGAAGUUGCAGGAGAGACUUGAACAGGUAGAGGAAGAGGCCGGAAGCCUCCAAGAGAUCCGGCAGAGGGAAGGGGACACACUGAGGUCUCAGUUGAGCGACGAGGCAGCGCACCACCAAAGUCAAGUACAGGGUCUGAAUGAGGAACUGGAUGCACUAAGGAAGAGAUUGGAAAACGAAGUUGAGAAAGUCUCAAGUCUUGAGUCCAAAGUGUUGGAGCUUGAGUCUGUCAACAGUCAGAUGAUCGAAAAGAAAAAUGCCCUCGCUGAUGAUUAUGAAACUAUAAUUCAUCAGAAAGAGGAACAGAUAAAAAACCUGAGACUGGACUUAUCAAGAUCUGAGAAGGAACUGGCACUUGCUCAGCAGUCCUGUCAUGAACUGGGGGUGAACUUAAGCAGAAGUGCAAUGGAGAAGCAUGACAUUGAACUGAAGAUGUCUGCUGAGAUAGAUGACCUUUAUCGUACCAAGAAGAACCUGGGGGAGAGACUUAUUGAGCUCCUAAGGGAGAAAGAUGCUUUAUGGCAGAAGUCAGAUGCACUGGAGUUCGAACAGAAACUGAGAGCUGAGGAACAGACCGACAGAGACGUCACAUACUGCCUGAGCUGCCGCAAUAACUUCGGCUGGAUGCUGCACAGACACAACUGCAGGCUAUGUGGGCGCCCAUUCUGUUACUACUGCUGCAAUUAUGCUGUGAGUGUCCAAGGCGGUGGUAAGGAGCGCUGUUGUAAGGACUGCUUCACUCAGCACAGUACUGGACAAGAGCGUCUUUUACGCUCAAUGUCAAGCCCAACCCGAACCAGCACACCUAGAGUCCCUGGGGUACUGAGGUCCCCUCGGCCAGAUGACGCAGCGUAUGACAUCAUCACAGAAGAGGAGGUGAACCGUGUCCAUGACAGCGACUUGUACUACACUGCACUGUCACCAGAGACAGAACAGCUGAGCAGCAGUGACAUCGCCAGCACAGAAGAUUCAGACGAGCUGAUUGGCUCGGUUCAGGAUGCUGAGAUCUGCCUGCUGAAGUCUGGAGAGAUGACGCUGUCUGUGCCGUUCAGUGUAAAGGACGUGAAUGAGUUUGGCGAUAUGUCCAGAGAACUCUUCAUCAAGUCCGGCUGUUACAGUGUCAUUCUCAUAACCGCUGCACAUCCGGGCCCUACGAUCAGCUGGGUCUUCUCCUCUGAACCCAAGAGCAUCGCCUUCAGCGUGGUGUACAGAGAGAACGCAGAUACGCCUCUAGAAGAGGCCAAGGUUCUGAUCCCUCUGACAAGAUGUAAAUCUCAUAAGGAAACAAUUCAGGGUCAGUUGAAGGUCAGGAACACUGGAGAAUACACCCUUAUCUUUGACAACUCAUUCUCAAGGUUCGUCUCAAAGAAGGUCCUGUUCAAACUGAGCAUAGAGAAGACAGAGGAAGCCAAUGGAAAUGAUUGUUCUUCAUAAGAAAACACAACACACACACUAUUCGGACUGUGCCAGGUCAACGGACUGCUUGUCCAGGAUGAUGUCUUCAUCAAGCCAAACACGGGCUGCAUCCAGUCUUGCUCGGAUGCCGGUUGCCCGUGGUUACGGCAGCGCUGCAGAGGCCGAGCGCCGUUGAUCUCACCGUGAAGUCCAUCUGAACACAGCGUGUUUGUGGUGCAGAGUCCAGACCAUUUCCCAAGGUUAAUGAACCCAUUGUAAAUCAGAUCACAUCCUGUGACCAGCCUGCAAUGAUCUGAGAUUUAUACACAUACAGGCAGAGAGAGAGAGAGAGAGAGAGAGCUGGGGGAGGAUGUAGAAAAAUCUCCAUGGAUCCAGUUUGUGCAGGACUCCAGGGAAAUGUGGGAUUAAACGGAAGGAGACCUGAGGUGGCAGUCGGGUCAUAUCCUGGAAGGAGCUUGUCAUGUGGGAAGACAGUCAAACACCUUCGAUUGGAAUGACGAGACGGCCGGCUUGCGCUGCCAGACGACUGCAGAGACAAAAGGAACAAAGUGAAAUGGACAAAUUGCUGUGAGUCUGAAUUGCAAAAAGAUUUCGCACCCUGGACACGAGGGAGACUUUGCCCCAACGUGUGUCAUCCACUCCAAACCCUACAUAGAGAGCGACCUCGCCGUCUACAUAGGCAGCUGCCUUCUAAAGCAGCGUUCUUCUAAAACUGCACACAGCAAGUGCGCUCUUCACGGGGGGCCGCAGGAGUUCGGCGCUCAACCCUUCAAGCAUCUUCGUCACCACCAAAUCACCAUGGCAAUAGCGGGCGCCGAGGGCCCUGAAUGAGGCACCGACUCUGUUUGAGACGUCUGCUGAGCCGCGAGGAUGGGAAUCGCACAGUGGAACAAUACAAGGAAAGUAAACCCUUCAAUGUAAAAUUCCUUCUUAAUAAUUAGAGCACUGUUUUUGAUGCUUUAUAAAGUGCUCUGAUGUUGAAGGGCAUCUGGUUCUGGCGAGGUCUUCGAUUAAGAGAACUCUCUACUGCUGAUAUAUUGCUGGAAAUUGAGUGUUUUUGUACUUUUUUCCCCUUGGAAACUUCUGGCAGCUAUUGAUUUUAAACUGCUUUCCCAUCUUUGGAGCACAGUGUGAUAAAAAUAACACUCUCCACAAUUAUGCUAUAUUAUUAACUGUAGUUUAUAUAACACAGCACUCUUCUUCUCUAUGUGAAUGUGUGCAUAUGUUGACCUUUAGAUUCUCUGCAGAUAUUCAUCAGUUUUUGUGAGUUAGUGUGCUCCCCCUCACCUCAUUUCAGACUAUAUAAAUGAUGGUGAACAGAUCCCAGCAGGACACUGGGUUGAACCCUGUGUGUCAUUGCUCGGGUCAUGCGGCCGGGGUGAAAGCAUUUGGCUUUUGUAAUUCUGCUGAUUACUAGAGAAAAACCUGGUGUCUGGUUUAAAGGCUUACCGGGAGAUCUGACAGACAAAACUGAAGAAAAAAACGAAAAACUUUUAGAAAUUGAAUGGAAUAGUUCACAAAAAAAAAAAAAAAAUGUCAUUAUUUACUAAUCCUCAUGCCGUUCCAAA